Molecule: non-coding RNA, 687 nt
Organism: Dermatophagoides farinae (American house dust mite)
Lineage: Eukaryota; Metazoa; Arthropoda; Arachnida; Sarcoptiformes; Pyroglyphidae
Source: RefSeq, a predicted model, not a curated record
AUGAAUAUUGUUGCAUUACCCGCUGUGAAUUUUUCAAAAUCAUCAAGAGGUGUUGUUGUCUUUUGAAUACAUUGAAAGAAUCAUUCACAUCGAUUUGCUCAUAUACAAUAAUAAAAAAUAAAAUCAAUUUCAAUUUCAAUUACUUCCUUGAAGCUUUAGAAGAAGAAAAUUAUUUAUUCAUUGCACCUGAAAAUCUAAACCCUCCAAAUCUAUCAUCAUCAUCAUCAUCAUGUGAAUCAAAAUGAUGGCCAUCAACUAUCCAAUCAAUUAACGUCUAUGGAUAGAUGUUAACAACAUCAACAUGUGUUUUUUUAGUCGAUGAUUUCAAUCAGAUCCAUUAAUGAAAUUCAAUGGAAUUUGUUACCCUUUGCCAACAUGUUGACGAAUAGAUUCAUGAAUAGAUUACAUUAUUAAUCAAAAUAAAUUAAAGAGUCAUAUGAUGUCAAUUUGGAAUGCAAAUCACCAUGGGAAUUCAAGAAUGUUUGAUGAACAAAUUGAACGAAAAAUCAACAUAAUAGCCAAAAUCAUAAUGUAAAAAUUUAUGAAAAUAAAAUCGAUGAAAGGGUUCGAUGUCCGGAUGUCAAUUCAAUAUUUACCUGAUAUGAAAUUUGAUAAAUAAUUGAAAAAAUCAAAAUGUUUGUCCAAAAAAUUUUAUCAUGGGUUCUUCAACCCAUCAUCACUUAUCAU